UUGGCACUGAUUCCUUCAAAAUCUUGGAAACCUUCUGAUGCCUAAAGGAUAAACUGUCAUGUCCUGCAGUCGCGGAAGCAUCUUAUAUUAAGGGGUGUCAUUUAGCCAUACACCAUUUGAAAAUAAUACAAAGUAAAAAUCAAUUUUGUGACAGAGAGUAAAAUACUUAGAACCAUCGAAGUCCCUGACAUCCACACAUUUGCAAGAUGAACCUUUACAUAUAUAUGAGCACUUCUUGUUGAAAAUUCCGUGUACUCCACUGAUAUCCUAGUACCAUAACCUCUAUUAACCAUCAUCAUGGAAUAUUUUUGGUUAUGCAGAUUAUGAUUGAGCUCCCUUACCUAUUCAUCCAGACAAUGAUAUAUGGAGUCAUAGUAUAUGCCAUGAUAGGAUAUGAGUGGACAGUUACCAAGUUCUUUUGGCAUAUGUUCUUCCUGUACUUCACCUUGCUAUAUUUUACGUUUUCUGGGAGGUAAUCAUAUGACAGAAGUUCCCUUUUUU
RNAcentral lists this long non-coding RNA (501 nucleotides) under Solanum tuberosum (potato). RNAcentral describes it as "long non-coding RNA (STUB_LNC006523)". Lineage: Eukaryota; Viridiplantae; Streptophyta; Magnoliopsida; Solanales; Solanaceae. The record is from RNAcentral.